RNAcentral lists this ribosomal RNA (166 nucleotides) under Leucochloridiomorpha constantiae. RNAcentral describes it as "5.8S ribosomal RNA". It matches the Rfam family "5.8S ribosomal RNA". Rfam says of the family: 5.8S ribosomal RNA (5.8S rRNA) is a component of the large subunit of the eukaryotic ribosome. It is transcribed by RNA polymerase I as part of the 45S precursor that also contains 18S and 28S rRNA. The record is from RNAcentral. Lineage: Eukaryota; Metazoa; Platyhelminthes; Trematoda; Strigeidida; Leucochloridiomorphidae.
AUACAUACAACUCUGAGCGGGUGGAUCUCUCGGCUCGUGUGUCUAUGAAGAGUGCAGCCAACUGUGUGAAUAAAUGUGAACUGCAUAGUGCUUUGAACAUCYACCUCUURGAACGCAUAUUGCGGCCACGGGUUAUCCUGGCGCCACCCCGGGUCGGGGGUUGGAU